AAGUCGUAACAAGGUUUCCGUAGGUGAACCUGCGGAAGGAUCAUUAACACGUAUCCUUCAUUGUGCUCCCCCAUUCCGUUAGGACGCGGCAAUCCCUGGUAAAUCAUCGCCGAACAGUUUUGAUUCAGGGACCUCUGCAUGGAGUGGGCAGCAGCGCGAGGCAAGUGGCCUGGCAUUCGAAAGAAUGGCGCAGUAACGAUCGCUAGAGGCCGACACGGCCGGCGACCGGGUCACUGGGCUCACGCCCCCCUAUCACCUUUGCAUGAAAACGGGCCUGCGCUUAAUUGUGCGGCCACCAAACUCGAACAACUGUUAACAAUGGAUAUCUUGGUUCUC
Molecule: unclassified non-coding RNA, 336 nt
Filed under: fungal sp.
Lineage: Eukaryota; Fungi
Description: partial internal transcribed spacer region
Rfam family: Eukaryotic small subunit ribosomal RNA (bases 1-46)
Source: RNAcentral